RNAcentral lists this ribosomal RNA (899 nucleotides) under uncultured bacterium. RNAcentral's name for it is "bacterial SSU rRNA". It matches the Rfam family "Bacterial small subunit ribosomal RNA", at positions 8 to 916 of the family's 1533-position model. The record is from RNAcentral.
AGAGUUUGAUCAUGGCUCAGGAUGAACGCUGGCGGCGUGCCUAAUACAUGCAAGUCGAACGAGGUGCUUUUGUAGCAAUACGAGAGUAUCCUAGUGGCGAACGGGUGAGUAACGCGUUGGUGACCUACCCCAAAGUGUGGGAUAACAGUCCGAAAGGAUUGCUAAUGCCGCAUGUGGUCUUCAGAUUUAGAAACUGACGACUAAAGGAGCAAUUCGCUUUGGGAGGGACCUGCGUCCCAUCAGCUAGUUGGUGAGGUAAUGGCUCACCAAGGCGACGACGGGUAGGGGACCUGAGAGGGUGACCCCCCACAAUGGAACUGAAACACGGUCCAUACACCUACGGGUGGCAGCAGUAGGGAAUAUUGCCCAAUGGACGAAAGUCUGAGGCAGCAACGCCGCGUGCACGAUGAAGGCCUUCGGGUCGUAAAGUGCUUUUCUGGGAGAUGAGAAAGGACAGUAUCCCAGGAAUAAGUCUCGGCUAACUACGUGCCAGCAGCCGCGGUAAAACGUAGGAGGCGAGCGUUAUCCGGAUUCACUGGGCGUAAAGCGCGUGCAGGUGGCUUGGUAAGUUAGGCGUGAAAUCUCCCGGCUCAACUGGGAGAGGUCGUCUAAUACUACCGGGCUAGAGAGCAGAAGAGGAAGAUGGAAUUCCCGGUGUAGUGGUGAAAUGCGUAGAUAUCGGGAGGAACACCAGUGGCGAAGGCGAUCUUCUGGUCUGUUUCUGACACUCAGACGCGACAGCUAGGGUAGUAAACGGGAUUAGAGACCCCGGUAAUCCUAGCCGUAAACGAUGUGAACUUGGCGUUGGUGGGUUAAACUCCAUCAGUGCCGCAGCAAACGCGAUAAGUUCACCGCCUGGGGACUACGGCCGCAAGGUUAAAACUCAAAUGAAUUGACGG